AUGGGAAGUGUAGUCUUUCUCCGCCCCACAGCGCUCCUGGGCUCCGCGGGCUCCUUCUGCGCAUGUGCAGCCUUGGUCCCUUUUCUUCCCGUCCGCCUUUGCAGGUCCUGUGAGAAGUUCUUGGAGUUUCUCAGUUGCCGCAGGCGCGAGAGCACGGCAUCACAACGGGACCUCGAGUGGCCUCGAGCUUUGGUGAGAGCCGCCUUAUUGUGGCGGAGGCGGAAGCAGGAAGUCUUGGGCUGCCACAGGCGGGACCCCGCAGUGCCCGAGUCUGGCUUGGACCUUGGCUCUGGGAAGCUGAAUCGUCACUGUCCUCUACUCUCCCAAGACCCACUGAAAAUGAACAUAUCUGAGAUUGAUGAGAAAUGUGCCUUCACAGACAUCAGUGUCAUUCAAGGAUAUGAGUGUGGAGUUUACCUGGAAGGAGUGGCAGCAUGUGAAUCCUGCUCAGAGGACCCUGUACAGAGAUGUGAUGCUGGAGAACUAUAGCCACCUUGUCUCACCGGCUGUCGUUACUCCAAUUUUUGGGCUUCCCUGAUGGCUCAGCAGUAAAGAAUCAGCCUGCCAAUGCAAGAGACGACAGAUACCUGGGUUCAAUUGGUGGGUGUGGAAGAUGCCCUGGAGAAAGAAAUGGCAACUCACUCAAGUCUUCUUGCCUGAGAAAUCCCAUGGACAGAGGAGCUACAGUCCAUAGAGUCACAAGAGUCAGACAAGACUGAGUGAUUGAACAGCAACAGCUCCAAUUACAUUUAUGCAAAUGGUUCCAGUAAACUUUAAAACUUUUGUUGACCAAAAAGAGAAAAAACCCCACGGGUAUACUGUACCCAAAGAUUUGAACUUCCUGCUUUUUACUUUUUCAUGCAGAUUUUACUUUUUCAUGCAAAUAUUCUUGAUGGCUUUCAUUUCCAAAGGUAAUCAACAAUUACAUAGAAAGGCACAUUAUACUCCAUGGGAACUGUCCUUUCAAGAACUUGGUUUUGAACUGCAGAGGCUCUCACUGUAUCUCUUGAAGGUCAUUGUAAGAGGUUUAAAUUGUAGAUACAGCUGUGUGAUCACUGAAUUCUCCUAAGAAGCAUCUUUCUUUUACUUUUACUUAUAUAUGUUUUCUUUUAAGUAUCUCAAAGAAGCCUGAGGCAUUGUAGAUCCUUUGGGUAUUUUGAAUGUUUUUGUAAAGUUUUAAUGGCAUCAAAUGAAUUGACAUUUGAUCACAUACAGGAAAUUUUAACUUAUACUUUUGUAUUCAUUUAAUGGCUUUCAAUAGACUUUCAAGACUUCUAGGAACCUAUACAGAAAAUGACUCUUUGAAAAUGAAAAUACAUCACUCUGUGUUUGUUAUAAAUAUGUUAUCAAAAUAUAAGAAUCUGUUAGUACAGAAAUGCCAAACAGUUGUGUAGCAAGAGACCAUGUCUAGCACUUUGCUCUGUCAUCCACUCUGCAUUUUAAGAGAAACAUUGAAUAUUUCUAGAAUAAAGUGAUAUGCAUGGUAGACUCUAUAGAAACAAAGUUAAGUGAUUAUUCAUUUAAGGAACUGCUUUUGUUUAAGAUACAGAAGAAUAUAAAACAAAAUUAGGGCCAAUUUUGAAAAUGACAUUAUUUUUAGAAGCAAAUUUCAUCACAAUAGACCUUAUUUUGUAACAAUUAGAUCAGUCCAAAAGGGAGAUAGUGUAUUUCUUAGUGUAUGACCUUAAGUAAAGGCUUUUUUUUCUCCCCUCUAGGAAUCACUGAUGUCAUAUUGUGUAUCAGCUUCAGAUAGAACAUCAAAUCAAUGCCUUUCAAGUUUCCGUUUAAUGUUGGUGUUCUGUGUUUUUUAAUAGAGAUCAACAUAGAGCCUCACUUGUGGUAGAUCUAUAGUAUUUGUUUAAUUCUGCUGUGAAUUAAUGUAACUCAAGUUUAUUGAUGGUCCUUGAUUCAUGGGAUGCUUAUUAUUUUCAUGUAAUAAAAAAUAGAGUAGGAAAUUUAUUUUCCAUCUGGGGAAUUCCCAUUGCAUUAUCACCAAUGCAGUUGUCACUUCACCUGAGAUACCUUCUCCAGCUCCCUCAUUCAGAGGAACUGGAUGACAUCUCUGUCGCCUUUAGAACUUUGGAAAAUUUGUACCUGCACAGAGAUCUAAUAUGCACAUAUAUUUAUACAUAUAAACAUGCACAUACCUGGAUAUAUAUCCACCCAUGUAAAUAUUUUACUCAUUUAUUCUUUCAGUAAGUGUUUUUUCCCCCAAUUGUGACUUUUCUUAUAACUAAUCACUCGUGUGAUUUUUAACAAUGAUAGAACCCUAAGCAUACCAUAGGCAGACUUUAAAGCAGAGUGUAUCUUAAAAUUAACAUAUUAUGAAGAUGGAAAAUACAUUUAGAAAACUUGAACAAAGCAACUUGAUAAUUCCAGAAUUAGUGCUUAGGAAUUAUGUGACUUCUAUAAGACAACUAAAUAACCCUUUAAUAUAUGUACAAUAAAGUUUCUAUUUCUUUGAAAGAAAAACAGAAUUACAUGACUUUGGAUAAAUGUGCCUAUUGGCUCUUAAUUACGAAUGCUCUGAAUCACAUGCCUAUAUGAUGCACACCACAACUUUUCCAAUCUAUCUAAUCCAUAUUAGGGCUCUGCUUGAUUAUUUCCGGCUAUUUCAGUGUUCUUGCCAAUUGGUUGUAUUGCUCUUACAUUUUUUUUUAAGACUUUAGAGUAGUAUUAUCUUUUCAUCAACAAUAACUCAUUUUCAGCUUAGGAAAGCAGAAAUUGAGUUAUUGUUGAUGAUAAGGUGAUACUUUAGCAUAUAUUUCCUGUGGAAUCAAGAAAGCUGAACUUGAGUUAUUACUGAUGACAGGGUAAUACUGUGCUAAUGGAAUACUAAAGACACCCUGCAUCCGUGAUGCAAAUUAAAAAUCGAUCAAACACCUUCUAACAGGAAAGUCUACCCUCUUUCUCUGAAAUAGACAAGAAAAAACACUAUCUACUAGGAAUGUGAAAGAAAGAUUUAGAUUGACAAUAAAUAUAUCAUUUUAGAAGUGUGUUUUGAUAUCAGUAACUAUUAAUUUGUUUUCUUACUGAUUUACUCAGCCUGCCUUAUUGUCUGGGCUUCCCUGGUGGCUCAGUGGUAGAGAAUUUACCUGCUAAUGCAGGGGAUAUGGGUUCAAUCCUGGCUUAGAAAGAGUCCCUGGAGAAGGAAAUGGCAACCCACUCCAGUUGGGAAAUCCCAUGGCCAGAGGACCCUGGUGGGCUAUAGUCCAUGGGGCUGCAAAAGAAUCAGACAUGACUUAGCAGCUAAACCAUAGCAGCUUUAUGUCUGCCAUAUGCAUGACCCCGUGUUGGGUGCUGAAAUGGAGAGGGGUGAUAACAAAAAUGAAUUGGGGACAACAGAAAUUAACGGUGUACUAAGGAAAACCUGCUGCUGCUGCUAAGUCACUUCAGUCAUGUCCGACUCUGUGUGGCCCCAUAGAUGGCAGCCCACCAGGCUCCCCCGUCCCUGGGAUUCUCCAGGCAAGAACACUGGAGUGGGUUGCCAUUUCCUUCUCCAAUGAAAGUGAAAAGUGAAAGUGAAGUUGCUCAGUCAUGUCUGACUCUUCGUGACCCCAUGGACUGCAGCCUACCAGGCUCCUCCAUCCAUGGGAUUUUCCAGGCAAGAAUGCUGAAGUGGAGUGCCAUUGCCUUCUCCAGAGGAAAACCUAGAGGUCUGAAAAAAUUGUAAGGACAUGUGGAAGAGGUGGUCACUUGUUCUGAUUGAGAGAGCUGAAGAAAACAUAUCAGGUGAGGCCAUGCAUGUUUGGGUCCAAACAUCGCAGUGGGACUUCACCAAAUGAAAAGGGUAGUAUUCCUAGAAGAAAGCCUAGAAAUCCCAGAGUGGGGAGAAGAGACCAACAGUAGCAAAAAUAAAACAGUGUAGUAGGGAAUCUUAAAGUCUCCAAGAUGACUAAUCAUAGAGUUUGGGAAGAAAUGCAAGACAAGGUGAUUAACAAAAGAGAUAGAACCAAACUGCAUAAGAUUUUAACAUACUUUAAAAGUGUGAACAGAGAAAGUUUAAAAACAGGUAACAGGGUCCAGAUGCUUAGGUGAAACUUCGCUACCAGAAUUUUUAGUAGUGAAGUGUUUUUUUUGUUUGUUUUUUGCUUAUAAUUCCUAAAGAAAAUGGCAGAGUCAGCAAGUACAGUAAAACAUAAUGUUUACAACCAAAGAGGUCUCCAUGUAGGGUAAGAAGCAACAGCAGAGCUCUGGUCUAUGGUAUCAGCAUUCCAACUGACUUUUCUGUGCUUUUUUUCCUUUUUGUGCUCUCUGUCAGUCCCUUAGUGUUUUUAUGUUAUCUUCUGUGUUUUCUUUUCUUAAAAACAUCUGGUAAAAUCAGUUCAAACGAAGAUGUGGCGCUCCAGAGUUAGAGCCAUGCUAAGCCUUAAGAAAUGACACGUGGAUUAUGGAAUUGGGGUAUUAAAGAAAUACCACUUUGGAGAAAUAAGCUAGAAUCUGUGCCAAUUACCAACUUCCAAAGGGAUUAUGAAUUCCUACCUUUUUACUCAGUGGCAUUAAUUAGUAUGCAUUUCUACAGUGAGGCAAGGGAGAGGUAAGCAUUCUCAGAGAUGCAGUUGUGAACAUGUUCUUAGUUCUAACGCAAUACUCCUGCUUGUCUUGAUCUCCCAAUUCACUAUGGGCCACUGGAUACCAACGACCACAGAUUAGUCUGUAAAUAUGUUUGCUACUUUAGAUAUCCAAUUUCUCAUUCAUUAUUUACCUUGUCCAAUCACUGUAUUGGGCAAAGAGUGGUUAGGGUCCAAACAAUUGGACUCUAUUGCUUCUUUUGUCCAAUCACUCUGUUUCCAUGUCCAAUCACUCUAUUUUCUCUAGUCUCUAAAAAGUUGACAGCAAAUUUAUGGUUAUUAAUGUUUUCAUUGAUUUUUAUUACUUUAUAAAUCUAACACAUAUAACAACAAAAUACCCUGACAGCAGAGUGGAAAGUAAUGCAGUAAGGAAGUUUAGGGAAACUAAAAAGAGAUUUGGGGAAAAUGUGAUGUCUACCCUGGAUUUACCUAUGUUGUUUUUGUUGUUUAAUCAGUAAGUCACGCCCAACUCUUUUGUAACCCCAUGGACUAUAGCCCGCUAGGUUCCUCUGUCCAUGGGAUUUCUCAGACAAGAAAACUGGAGUGGGUUGUCAUUU
Molecule: long non-coding RNA, 5128 nt
Filed under: Bos grunniens (domestic yak)
Lineage: Eukaryota; Metazoa; Chordata; Mammalia; Artiodactyla; Bovidae
Description: lncRNA (ENSBGRG00000005863.1)
Source: RNAcentral